AGUGAACGCUGGCGGUAGGCCUAACACAUGCAAGUCGAACGGCAGCACAGUAAGAGCUUGCUCUUACGGGUGGCGAGUGGCGGACGGGUGAGGAAUACAUCGGAAUCUACUUUUUCGUGGGGGAUAACGUGGGGAAACUUACGCUAAUACCGCAUACGACCUACGGGUGAAAGCAGGGGAUCUUCGGACCUUGCGCGAUUGAAUGAGCCGAUGUCGGAUUAGCUAGUUGGCGGGGUAAAGGCCCACCAAGGCGACGAUCCGUAGCUGGUCUGAGAGGAUGACCAAGACACAUGGAAAGAAGAACAGGCCCAGCACCGUAAGGGAGGCAAAGUUGGGGAAAUUUGGAAAAGGGGCGGAAGCCUUUUCCAGCCAUACCGGGUGGGGAAAAAAGGCCUUCGGGUUGUAAAGCCCUUUUGUUGGGAAAAAAAAGCAGGAGGUUAAAACCCCGCUUUUCGGAAGGAACCCAAAAAAAAAGCACCGGCAAACUUCGU
This 491-nucleotide ribosomal RNA is filed under the name uncultured bacterium. RNAcentral's name for it is "partial 16S ribosomal RNA". It matches the Rfam family "Bacterial small subunit ribosomal RNA", at positions 29 to 506 of the family's 1533-position model. The record is from RNAcentral.